AGUAGACCGCCUGGGGAGUACGGCCGCAAGGUUAAAACUCAAAUGAAUUGACGGGGGCCCGCACAAGCGGUGGAGCAUGUGGUUUAAUUCGAUGCAACGCGAAGAACCUUACCUGGUCUUGACAUCCACAGAAGAAUCCAGAGAUGGAUUUGUGCCUUCGGGAACUGUGAGACAGGUGCUGCAUGGCUGUCGUCAGCUCGUGUUGUGAAAUGUUGGGUUAAGUCCCGCAACGAGCGCAACCCUUAUCCUUUGUUGCCAGCGGUUAGGCCGGGAACUCAAAGGAGACUGCCAGUGAUAAACUGGAGGAAGGUGGGGAUGACGUCAAGUCAUCAUGGCCCUUACGACCAGGGCUACACACGUGCUACAAUGGCGCAUACAAAGAGAAGCGACCUCGCGAGAGCAAGCGGACCUCAUAAAGUGCGUCGUAGUCCGGAUUGGAGUCUGCAACUCGACUCCAUGAAGUCGGAAUCGCUAGUAAUCGUGGAUCAGAAUGCCACGGUGAAUACGUUCCCGGGCCUUGUACACACCGCCCGUCACACCAUGGGAGUGGGUUGCAAAAGAAGUAGGUAGCUUAACCUUCGGGAGGGCGCUUACCACUUUGUGAUUCAUGACUGGGGUGAAGUCGUAACAAGGUAACCGUAGGGGAACCUGCGGUUGGA
Molecule: ribosomal RNA, 659 nt
Filed under: Salmonella enterica
Lineage: Bacteria; Pseudomonadati; Pseudomonadota; Gammaproteobacteria; Enterobacterales; Enterobacteriaceae
Also listed under: 1 other name
Description: bacterial SSU rRNA
Rfam family: Bacterial small subunit ribosomal RNA
Source: RNAcentral